GAAAAAAAGAGGCAAAGCAAAUUGUGGUUCGAGACCGUGUUCCCCUCGUCUUUACUCUUCACUGAUGUAGCCUGAUCCAACGUUUACUUCUGACCUUCUAGGUUCUUUGCUCAGCUUUCUUCCAGCAUUUUCACUUUCUGGAUGUGACCAGUUUCCCCACUGAAAUAAAUGAUACGCAGACCCCCACCCCCGGUCGCAGCAACAUCUCAAAACUUCAUCUGUGCAAUGGUACGAACAGGUGGUCGGUGUCACAUUUCAUUUGGAGGGCAUCACAUGCAAUAACAACUCUCCACAUUAGAAACAACCUUCCGGCCUGAAACAUUCAGUUGGUCUUGCUUACUUGAAGAAUUUUAAAAGUCCAAAGGAACAAGCAAUGAGGAGCAAAGAACGACAAAAGGUGAGGCUGAUGGAUUUUUCCCCGAAGAUCAAGGUCCACGUGCAGUGUGUUCAGAGGGACAAAGCAACGACAAGUCCCUACCAUGUGGGAGAACAAAAGGAGAAGAAAAGCAUGUAUGUGCUUCUUUCAGGUCAUUUAUAGAAGACUGGAUACAAGUCACCUCUUGCUUGUUUGACAAGGGAAUGGCACACCUUUCGCGGAAGUAAGCAGGAUAACGUGAAGAAAAAUAAGAGUCUGCAUUUAUAUCUCACAUCUUAAGUAAUCACAAGAAUUUAACCAAUUAGAAAGUACCAGUGAGCCAAAGGAUGAAAUAUUAAGAUGGCAUAGCAAAUGUUUGGUUGAAAAAGUAAUUUUUACCAGGUUGAAAAGAAAUAAAAAGUACGAUUCACUUCAAAUGAAGCAUAAAUUCUCUGUUGUCUCCAGAAGUAUAACAUUUUUUGUUUAAAAAUCUAUCCAUUUUGUACUUUAAAUGAUUCAAAAGUGGCAAAACAUACAAAAGUCAGAAUAUGCCUGUAAUGUCAGCAUCUUUUGGAAUCCAAUUUUUGUAAAA
Stegostoma tigrinum is the source of this 947-nucleotide long non-coding RNA. RefSeq lists it as uncharacterized. The transcript has 4 exons. NCBI's taxonomy places the organism in Eukaryota, Metazoa, Chordata, Chondrichthyes, Orectolobiformes, Stegostomatidae. The record is from RefSeq and is a predicted model, not a curated record.